This 497-nucleotide ribosomal RNA is filed under the name uncultured bacterium. RNAcentral describes it as "partial 16S ribosomal RNA". It matches the Rfam family "Bacterial small subunit ribosomal RNA", at positions 28 to 507 of the family's 1533-position model. The record is from RNAcentral.
GAUGAACGCUGGCGGCGUGCCUAAUACAUGCAAGUCGAGCGAACAGACGAGGAGCUUGCUCCUCUGACGUUAGCGGCGGACGGGUGAGUAACACGUGGAUAACCUACCUAUAAGACUGGGAUAACUUCGGGAAACCGGAGCUAAUACCGGAUAAUAUAUUGAACCGCAUGGUUCAAUAGUGAAAGACGGUUUUGCUGUCACUUAUAGAUGGAUCCGCGCCGCAUUAGCUAGUUGGUAAGGUAACGGCUUACCAAGGCAACGAUGCGUAGCCGACCUGAGAGGGUGAUGCGCCACACUGGAACUGAGACACGGUCCAGACUCCUACGGGAGGCAGCAGUAGGGAAUCUUCCGCAAUGGGCGAAAGCUUGACGGAGCAACGCCGCGUGAGUGAUGAAGGUCUUCGGAUCGUAAAACUCUGUUAUUAGGGAAGAACAAAUGUGUAAGUAACUAUGCACGUCUUGACGGUACCUAAUCAGAAAGCCACGGCUAACUACGUG